GGGCGAUUAGCUCAGUUGGUAGAGCAGAUGACUCUUAAUCAUCGGGUCGUAGGUUCGAUCCCUACAUCGCCCACCA
Molecule: transfer RNA, 76 nt
Filed under: Bradyrhizobiaceae bacterium
Lineage: Bacteria; Pseudomonadati; Pseudomonadota; Alphaproteobacteria; Hyphomicrobiales; Nitrobacteraceae
Description: tRNA-Lys
Rfam family: tRNA
About the family: Transfer RNA (tRNA) molecules are approximately 80 nucleotides in length.
Source: RNAcentral